RNAcentral lists this long non-coding RNA (3465 nucleotides) under Homo sapiens (human). RNAcentral describes it as "HSALNT0198534". The record is from RNAcentral. Lineage: Eukaryota; Metazoa; Chordata; Mammalia; Primates; Hominidae.
CAUUCGUGGUGAUGCUAAGGACCGGAAGGGUCUUUAACCUUUUCUCUCCCUCCUAGCUCAGCCCUCACGGAACCCUAAAAGCUGGCUAAGGGGCCAUUCUCCUCGCCACCUGGGCCUGCGUCUGCCGAAUCGCUUCCUAAGGACUUUGACUAGAAACCAAAGGUCCCAUUUUUCAUCUGCCAUUUAUUUAUCAUUGCAUAACUUAGGUAAGUCCCUCCGCCUUCACUGUCAGUUCUUCACUCAUUGUUUUGCAUCCAAGGAGUCUGGAAAUAAGCGGGAACACCCUGCACGUGAGAGGGGCCCUGAAAUUCACGAGGGGCUGGGGCUUUGCGUUUAUUCCUCCAGUUCCGCCUGCAGCAACCCUGACGAUCGAGCAGGGCCCGCGGGGGAGCGAGCGGAAGCGGGCAGCGUGCGCUGCUGUCCCGCUACCCAGCCCGCUAGGCUGCGCAGCUGCGUCUGCGGGCGGGGAGCCGGGGCGGCCGUGGGCUUCCUCCGGGCGCGGGCUGACGGCUGCCGCCUGUGGGCGCCCCAGCCCUGCAGCCGAGCGGGAGGGGCGGACCAGCGGGUGUCGGGAGCAGGCUGCAGCGGCCAGGCCUCUGCGGCUUCUCGGAGUACUGGGUCCACUGGAGAGCGAAGAGCCGCGGCCGCCAGGAUUCCCAGCAGCGGCCGCGUGUUGAGAGCCUAGAAGUGGCCCCGAAGCCGUGCCUUUCCCGAUAGCCAAGCAGAAGUAGGACUUGAAGCACCGAGGCUGGGAUGCCCAUGCUGGUGACGCCUUGGGGCUCGCAGUUAUACUUGGUGACCGGUCUACACGGCGAUUCGGUGCUUUCCGGAGUAGCAGAUUCAUCUAUCUUUAGACCCACCUUCGUCCUUCGGCGGUUUAGCACGGCCUGCGCUUUCCUGCGAGCCCUGCUGUCACCCGAACAGCCUGAUGACUUCACGCUCAACCACUGGAGGGCACAACCACAUCAUUUUUAAAAAAUAGAUUCCUCCACUUAAAGGACAUGGUUUUGGGGGAAAGAACAUUUAAAAAAUGUAAAAAGAUAUAUAUCUAUAUCUAUAUAUCUAUCUCAGAUUGUUCUGAUAUAAACUCAGGUGGGAUUCUUCAAAACAGGAGGCUGUUCCAGUCUCUUCAUUUUGCAGCUGAGAAAACGAAGGCCUUGGAGCUUGAGAACUCCAGUUGCCCAAGGCACACAGGUGGUGGGUAAGGAAGCUGAUCAUGUCUCCAAAGAAUCCUUCCAUGACCCAGGAGGAUCCGGUGGGAGAGCAGGGCCGUCCACAGCUCAGCUAGGACACAAGAAGGCCCGGGGUGGCAGGAGCCCCACUGUGUGCUGCGGAGGAUGGCAGAGGAAGUCAGCAUUGUCCCGAAACUGCAGGAUCAUGUGAUGUGAUGGGAAAAAAUUAUGAGUACAAGACACAGGAAGAGCAGGUCACGGAAACACAUGGUGCCCAGAAGGGCUUAAUUAGUAGCAGCUGUGCGGGGUGAUGCACAGAGUGCCCCAAGGGUGUCCUGAGUGAGGGUGGAUGUCCCCUGCCCUCUGGCUUCGUGAAGGCUUCGUGAAGCCUGCCGGGUCACCCUUGUUUUCAUGGAUAGCUUCUUUAGGACACUCUCUCCACCAGUAAUUGACAAAGUCUGCUUCUGUUGAGUGUCUGAUAAAGGAUUGAGUUUACAUGAUUGUUAAGAUAGGAUCAUGAAAGAAGACAGAAGACGGAUGUGAGUGGCCCUCAGAAAAAAAGCAUCAAAGGAAACUGAGGAGUCUGUGUUCCGAGUUAUAACAUCAGUCCUGUGUUGAAAGCAUAUUGACUUUCCUGACUUCUUAUGACCACAUUUGAGGAAAGGAGUAAGCACUGGAAUCACCAACACAGCAUGCUUACGGAGGGUGGUCACCAGCUUCAUCAGCCUCCCAAUUCCACGGAGCCCCUUGAAAAUCCAGGAGCGCAGACUGGCAACAGUAGAGAUUUAAUAGGAGUUUACUGGAGGUUAUACUCCAGUCAAAGAAGAUGGAAACCAAGAAAGGACACAUUUUGGAGAUUAGCACUGGCUCCAGGAACCCAGUGAACAGAAGACUCAGGCUGAAGGCUUGUGCAUUCAGCCCAGAGAAAAUCCACUUAAAUUCAGAACAAUUAAGGACUCUGGGGAAGAAGGACUUCACAUGGUAGUGUGAUUGGAAGGCAGAUAAAUUUUAGGACACAAUGGAAGUUCCUAAGAUUUUUUAUCCUUUUCCAAUAGGAAGGAUAAAAAAAUCAUCUAAAACUAGAGGAAAAAUCAUCUAAAACAAGGUAUAAAGAAAUGGCUCACGUGUGACCCUUAUUUUACUGUGACAUGGAGCAUUUGAUGAAGGAUGUGGGAAGGGAGCCUGCUUAACUAUGAAGUGAGUAGCAUCGCCCCAGGAGCACCAUGACAGAUGCACAGGACAUGGAGGGAAGGAAAUGGCAUCCUGGCACAGCCCUGGCUCUACAUUGAGCAAUGUAGACAAAAUCAUAAAGGCUGCUCUAGUUUUCUACUUUUAGAAUCAACCUACAGACAUGUAAGACUUAAUUGUAGUUGUAGAAUAAAAGAUAAAAGAUUAUUGGCUUUCAUAACAAUAAAGUCCUAACAAUGAUUCACAGUUAUUCCAUGAAUAAGGGUAGGGGAAAAGAGGGAGGAAUGUAAGGCAUUUUAUAUGGAGCAAGGGAGGCAAAAGACGUUGACAGAGGCUUAUGGAACAACACACACACGCACACAAAUAGAAGGAAUAUAUUGCUUAAAAUGACAAAAAUAGCCAACAUAGGCUGGGUGCGGUGGCUCAUGCCUGUAAUCCCAGCACUUUGGGAGGCUGAGGCGGACGGAUCACUUGAAGCCAGGAGUUCAAGACCAGCCUGGCCAACAUGGUGAAACCCCGUCUCUACUAAAAAUACAAAAAUUGACUGGGCGCAGUGGUGUGCAUCUGUAGUUCCAACUACUUGGGAGGCUGAGGCAGGAGAAUCACUUGAAUCCGGGAGGCGGAGGUUGCAGUGAGCCGAGAUCACGCCACUGCAUCCUAGCCUGGGUGACAGAGUGAGACCGUCUGAAAAAGAAAAAAGCCAACAUAGGAAUUUUUAAAAUAAUAUAUAAUUACCAAAAAUUGGGGAAAAUAGAGACAGGGAAGGCAGUUCUAUAAGCGAGAUAAAUCUUUAUCUUUUGUAUCAGAAAGUCAAUAAAUAUUGUCUGAAUUUGAUUGGUUAUUUCCAUUUUUAUGAAAUGUCUACAAUAGGCAAAUCUAUAGAACCAGUAAAGAAAUUAGGAAUUCCUGUGGCUGGGACUGAAGAGUGAAAUCACUGCAAGUGGUCAAGAGGGAUCUUCUGAAGUGAUAGGUGUGUUCUAAAAUUGGGCUGUGGGGAUGCUUGCACAACUCUGUAACUUUGCUAAAAUUCAUUUCAUUACACAUUUAGUGAGUUUUAUGAUAUGUACAUUACCCAUCAAUAAAGCUGUGUUAAAAAAAAGGCUGA